CCUACGGGAGGCUGCAGUGGGGAAUAUUGCGCAAUGGGCGAAAGCCUGACGCAGCGACGCCGCGUGAGGGAUGAAGGUCUUCGGAUCGUAAACCUCUGUCAGCAGGGAAGAACGGUCACUGUGCUAAUCAGCAGUGAAUUGACGGUACCUGCAAAGGAAGCACCGGCUAACUCCGUGCCAGCAGCCGCGGUAAUACGGAGGGUGCGAGCGGUAAUCGGAAUUACUGGGCGUAAAGCGCUCGUAGGCGGUAUGUCAAGUCAAGGGUGAAAGCCCCGCGCUCAACGUGGGAACUGCCUUUGAAUCUGGCAAACUGGAGUGUGUGAGAGGAUAGUGGAAUUCCAGGUGUAGGAGUGAAAUCCGUAGAUAUCUGGAGGAACAUCAGUGGCGAAGGCGACUAUCUGGCACAUAACUGACGCUGAGGAGCGAAAGCGUGGGUAGCAAACAGGAUUAGAUACCCGGGUAGUC
RNAcentral lists this ribosomal RNA (465 nucleotides) under uncultured bacterium. Its description in RNAcentral is "partial 16S ribosomal RNA". It matches the Rfam family "Bacterial small subunit ribosomal RNA", at positions 338 to 795 of the family's 1533-position model. The record is from RNAcentral.